Molecule: ribosomal RNA, 253 nt
Filed under: uncultured bacterium
Lineage: Bacteria
Description: partial 16S ribosomal RNA
Rfam family: Bacterial small subunit ribosomal RNA
Source: RNAcentral
UACAGAGGGUGCGAGCGUUAAUCGGAAUUACUGGGCGUAAAGGGCGCGUAGGUUGUUGUGUAAGUGAGAUGUGAAAUCCCCGGGCUUAACCUGGGAACUGCAUCUUAUACUGCAUAACUGGAGUGCAAUAGAGGGUAGUGGAAUUUCCGGUGUAGCGGUGAAAUGCGUAGAUAUCGGAAGGAACACCAGUGGCGAAGGCGGCUACCUGGAUUGACACUGACGCUGAGGAGCGAAAGCGUGGGGAGCGAACAGG